Molecule: ribosomal RNA, 228 nt
Filed under: uncultured bacterium
Lineage: Bacteria
Description: partial 16S ribosomal RNA
Rfam family: Bacterial small subunit ribosomal RNA
Source: RNAcentral
UAAUCUGCCCUUCGGUGGGGGACAACAGUCCGAAAGGACUGCUAAUACCGCAUCCGUCGGCGAACUCUUCGGAGAUUGCCGGGAAAGGUGGCCUCUUCAUGAACGCUACCGCCGAAGGAUGAGUCCGCGUCCCAUCAGCUAGUUGGCGGGGUAAUGGCCCACCAAGGCUUAGACGGGUAGCUGGUCUGAGAGGAUGGCCAGCCACACUGGAACUGAGACACGGUCCAG